GUUUUGGGCUUAGUUAGUUGUGGAGCACAUGAAAACUCCACAGUUAAGCGUGCUCAGGUGGGAGUAGUACUAGGAUGGGUAACCUCUUGGGAAGUCUCCACCAAGGAAACC
This 111-nucleotide ribosomal RNA is filed under the name Helianthus annuus (common sunflower). Lineage: Eukaryota; Viridiplantae; Streptophyta; Magnoliopsida; Asterales; Asteraceae. The record is from RNAcentral.